UAACACGUAUGCAACCUGCCCUCCUCAGGGGGACAACCUUCCGAAAGGGAGGCUAAUCCCGCGUAUAUCGGUUUCGGGCAUCCGAGAUCGAGGAAAGAUUCAUCGGAAGAGGAUGGGCAUGCGGCGCAUUAGCUUGACGGCGGGGUAACGGCCCACCGUGGCGACGAUGCGUAGGGGUUCUGAGAGGAAGGUCCCCCACACUGGUACUGAGACACGGACCAGACUCCUACGGGAGGCAGCAGUGAGGAAUAUUGGUCAAUGGGAGAGAUCCUGAACCAGCCAAGCCGCGUGAGGGAAGACGGCCCUAUGGGUUGUAAACCUCUUUUGUCGGAGAACAAAACCCGGGACGUGUCCCGGACUGCGUGUAUCCGAAGAAAAAGCAUCGGCUAACUCCGUGCCAGCAGCCGCGGUAAUACGGAGGAUGCGAGCGUUAUCCGGAUUUAUUGGGUUUAAAGGGUGCGUAGGCGGUCCGUUAAGUCAGCGGUAAAAUUGCGGGGCUCAACCCCGUCGAGCCGUUGAAACUGGCAGACUUGAGUUGGCGAGAAGUACGCGGAAUGCGCGGUGUAGCGGUGAAAUGCAUAGAUAUCGCGCAGAACUCCGAUUGCGAAGGCAGCGUACCGGCGCCAGACUGACGCUGAGGCACGAAAGCGUGGGGAUCGAACAGGAUUAGAUACCCUGGUAGUCCACGCAGUAAACGAUGAAUGCUGGUUGU
Molecule: ribosomal RNA, 712 nt
Filed under: uncultured bacterium
Lineage: Bacteria
Description: bacterial SSU rRNA
Rfam family: Bacterial small subunit ribosomal RNA
Source: RNAcentral